Molecule: ribosomal RNA, 467 nt
Filed under: uncultured bacterium
Lineage: Bacteria
Description: partial 16S ribosomal RNA
Rfam family: Bacterial small subunit ribosomal RNA
Source: RNAcentral
GACGAACGCUGGCGGCGUGCUUAACACAUGCAAGUCGAACGGAAAGGCCUCAGCUUGCUGGGGUACUCGAGUGGCGAACGGGUGAGUAACACGUGGGUGAUCUGCCUUGCACUCUGGGAUAAGCUUGGGAAACUGGGUCUAAUACCGGAUAUGAACUGCCUUUAGUGUGGUGGUUGGAAAGUUUUUUCGGUGCAAGAUGAGCUCGCGGCCUAUCAGCUUGUUGGUGGGGUAAUGGCCUACCAAGGCGUCGACGGGUAGCCGCCCUGAGAGGGUGUACGGCCACAUUGGGACUGAGAUACGGCCCAGACUCCUACGGGAGGCAGCAGUGGGGAAUAUUGCACAAUGGGCGGAAGCCUGAUGCAGCGACGCCGCGUGGGGGAUGACGGCCUUCGGGUUGUAAACUCCUUUCGACAGGGACGAAGCUUUUUGUGACGGUACCUGUAUAAGAAGCACCGGCUAACUACGUG